GGGAUGGACGAACCUCUGGUGCACCAGUGUCAUGCCAAUGGCACAGCUGGGUAGCCAAGUUCGGACGGGAUAAGCGCUGAAGGCAUCUAAGCGCGAAGCCCACCCCAAGAUGAGAUUUCCCACGCGGAAGCGGUAAGACCCCUGGAAGACUACCAGGUAGAUAGGCCAGAGGUGUAAGCGUCGUAAGGCGUUUAGCUGACUGGUACUAAUAGGUCGAGGGCUUGAUCUU
This is a ribosomal RNA of Caloramator australicus RC3, 229 nucleotides long. It matches the Rfam family "Bacterial large subunit ribosomal RNA", at positions 2694 to 2925 of the family's 2925-position model. Lineage: Bacteria; Bacillati; Bacillota; Clostridia; Eubacteriales; Clostridiaceae. The record is from Rfam.